This 488-nucleotide ribosomal RNA is filed under the name uncultured Campylobacterota bacterium. RNAcentral describes it as "bacterial SSU rRNA". It matches the Rfam family "Bacterial small subunit ribosomal RNA", at positions 74 to 583 of the family's 1533-position model. Lineage: Bacteria; Pseudomonadati; Campylobacterota. The record is from RNAcentral.
CCUAGCUUGCUAGGUGGAUUAGUGGCGCACGGGUGAGUAAUAUAUAGAUAACGUGCCUCUUAGUCUGGGAUAGCCAUUGGAAACGAUGAUUAAUACUAGAUACUCCUUCUAACUCUAAUGUUAGUUGGGAAAGUUUUUCGCUAAGAGAUCGGUCUAUAUCCCAUCAGCUAGUUGGUAGUGUAAGAGACUACCAAGGCAAUGACGGGUAGCGGGUUUGAGAGGAUGAUCCGCCACACUGGUACUGAGACACGGACCAGACUCCUACGGGAGGCAGCAGUGAGGAAUAUUGCACAAUGGAGGAAACUCUGAUGCAGCAACGCCGCGUGGAGGAUGACGCAUUUCGGUGUGUAAACUCCUUUUAUAUGUCAAGAAAAUGACGGUAGCAUAUGAAUGAGCACCGGCUAACUCCGUGCCAGCAGCCGCGGUAAUACGGAGGGUGCAAGCGUUAUUCGGAAUCACUGGGCGUAAAGGACGCGUAGGCGGGAUGC